Molecule: long non-coding RNA, 1157 nt
Filed under: Bos mutus (wild yak)
Lineage: Eukaryota; Metazoa; Chordata; Mammalia; Artiodactyla; Bovidae
Description: lncRNA (ENSBMUG00000017542.1)
Source: RNAcentral
CGGCAGCUCCAAGGGACAAGCGGCGGCAGGAGGGCGGCGGCGGCGGCGAGGGGCGCAGCGAGCAUCGGAAAGGCUGGCGAGCAGNNNNNNNNNNNNNNNNNNNNNNNNNNNNNNNNNNNNNNNNNNCUAGCAUGGGAAAGGUGGGCGAGCGGCCGGGAGCGGGAGCCGGGGAUCCCUGCGGGAGGGGGCGCGCGGGGGCUCGCCCACGCCAGCUCCGGCCCCGCGUUCGCCGUGGGCCAUGAAAUCCGCCCUGAGCGGCGACCGAACCCGGCUGGCCGGUGGACCAGCAACUUCCCCGUCCGGCCGGCAACGCCGAGGUUACACAACGGGGCGCUCAGGACACCCGAGUAGACAACUUUCCGACUGCGCUUUCCCUAGGGACCGAGGGUUCGCGCUGGAGAGCGCGCCGGGGGCCUCAGUGAGGUUGAGCCAAAUUCGCUGCGCUGCGCUCCGGCGUGGGGAGGGCGCGCCCCAGCCUCCUUCCCCCGAAGAUCAACUUCGUUUGGGCAUCUUCCUUCUCCCUACCUUGCAAGCCAGCAGCUCGGGUCUAGGGCCCGCGCCCCGCUGCCCUCAGCUUCUGGGGGCCAUCGGAGCGCGCGUGGCCGCAGACUCGUGCGCUUCUGGAUCGCGUCCGGCUCGCAGUCUGGGUGAUCUCGCAGGCUUUUCUAGAGACCUGCUCCGUUUGGAGUGCAGCGGCCGGAGGGCGAGCCAGGCUCCCUGCGAGGGUGGGCGGAGUUUGGGCGCCGGGCGAGUCCGCGCGCAGCUGGGAGGAGAGGGGCGUGCCUCCGUGAAGCCCGCCCGGCUGCCUGCCCGCGCUCUCCAGGGUGUUCGCUCCGGGCCGGAGACGUCUUCGGGGAGAACUGGUCUUCGCCGUGGGCCGGCGCGUUCAGCUUCUGUCCCGGAGCCACUGCCGGAGUCGGCGGAGGACGCGGGGCGCACUCGGUCAGGGUCAGGGCUAGGGCUGGCUGCCGAGAAGCGAUUGGCCCGCCAGUCUUCCGCCGGCUAUCUUCGGCAAAGUGAAGUUGCUGACACACAGGAAACCCCUCUGACCGCUCAGAGCCUUCUGCCUAACACCCUGGAGCCGACCGAAGGAGACUGAAGUCUCCAGGGCCUUCAAGAACCACGCCAGGUGUUUGCAUGUUUCAGGCAGCCUGCAG